CCUGGACCGUUUAACAGUUCCUGCAACAAGCCUUUGUACAAUCGGGGGAAAUUUGACCAUUCAGACAGGCUACAUCUCUCUAUGUUCACCUCCCCGCAGCCAGCCUCGCUCGGGCGUGUCAUUUCGGUGCGCGGUUCGCUGGCGCGCGUCGGCCUUAUGGCGACCAGCCAGAUCAAUGACGCCAACGUACGCGCCACCGUCGGCCAGUUNNNNNNACCCGCCCCGCGACCACCAUCAUCGUCGCGAUGAUCACCGAGGUCAGCCGCGAAAACCUUCCGGCGACCGACAACUACAUCGCGAUCGCCUCGGUCGACCUGCUU
Molecule: unclassified non-coding RNA, 320 nt
Filed under: Hevea brasiliensis (rubber tree)
Lineage: Eukaryota; Viridiplantae; Streptophyta; Magnoliopsida; Malpighiales; Euphorbiaceae
Source: RNAcentral